UAUGGCCAUAUCACAUUGAAACACCAGUUUUCAUAUGAUCAGUUAAGCAGUCUUGAGCCUGGUCAGUACCUCCAUGGAUUACUGCUUGGGAAUACCAGGUGUUGUAAG
This is a non-coding RNA of Acanthosepion pharaonis, 108 nucleotides long. NCBI's taxonomy places the organism in Eukaryota, Metazoa, Mollusca, Cephalopoda, Sepiida, Sepiidae. The record is from the annotation of a GenBank genome assembly.